UUGCACGCUGGCGGCCGGCCUCACACAUGCAAGUCGAACGGUAACAGGAAGCAGCUUGCUGCUUCGCUGACGAGUGGCGGACGGGUGAGUAAUGUCUGGGAAGCUGCCUGAUGGAGGGGGAUAACUACUGGAAACGGUAGCUAAUACCGCAUAAUGUCGCAAGACCAAAGAGGGGGACCUUCGGGCCUCUUGCCAUCGGAUGUGCCCAGAUGGGAUUAGCUUGUUGGUGGGGUAACGGCUCACCAAGGCGACGAUCCCUAGCUGGUCUGAGAGGAUGACCAGCCACACUGGAACUGAGACACGGUCCAGACUCCUACGGGAGGCAGCAGUGGGGAAUAUUGCACAAUGGGCGCAAGCCUGAUGCAGCCAUGCCGCGUGUAUGAAGAAGGCCUUCGGGUUGUAAAGUACUUUCAGCGGGGAGGAAGGGAGUAAAGUUAAUACCUUUGCUCAUUGACGUUACCCGCAGAAGAAGCACCGGCUAACUCCGUG
This 489-nucleotide ribosomal RNA is filed under the name uncultured bacterium. RNAcentral describes it as "partial 16S ribosomal RNA". It matches the Rfam family "Bacterial small subunit ribosomal RNA", at positions 30 to 507 of the family's 1533-position model. The record is from RNAcentral.